CUUGUAAUCAAGAUCGAGAAUGUAGAUCUUGUUCUAAAUAGUUUAAAAAAUUUUCAAAUCAAAAUUCAAUUAAUUUGAAUAUUUUUAAACUAUUAAACUAGAAAACGUCUGAUAUCGACUAUUAAAAUUAUAAAUUCUGAAUUUUUUUAAUCAUUAGGUUAAUGAUAUCGAAAAGAAUUAAAAUUUUAUUUCUAAAUACUUCAAUUGGUAUAUAUUAUGUUCAACGAUACCUAUCGUUGAUUUGGAGGCUCCAUUAGCGAAAACAAAUUAAUUAGUGGCAAUAUAAUCUGUUUAUUAUCGGUAGCAUUCCAGCUCAACUCUCUAAUUUGUAUCUAUUAUCAAACAAGCCGUAAACAAA
This 358-nucleotide long non-coding RNA is filed under the name Ananas comosus (pineapple). RNAcentral describes it as "long non-coding RNA (ACOM_LNC040450)". The record is from RNAcentral. Lineage: Eukaryota; Viridiplantae; Streptophyta; Magnoliopsida; Poales; Bromeliaceae.